GAUUCGGGGUGCAGCAGGCGCGAAAACUUCGCAAUGCGCGGAAGCGUGACGAGGGGAUUCUGAGUGCUUACGGUUUUACUGUAGGCUUUUCGUUAGGGCAAAUACCUAGCGGAAUAAGUGGUGGGCAAGACUGGUGCCAGCCGCCGCGGUAACCCCAGCGCCACAAGUGGGAACCACGUUUAUUGGGUUUAAAGCAUCCGUAGCCGGUUCGGCAAAUGCCCUGUGAAAUCGUUGUGCUUAACACAACGGCGCGCAGGGUAGACUACCAAACUAGGGACCAGGGGAGGAAGACGGUAUUCCUGAGGGAGCGGUAAAAUGUGAUAAUCUCAGGAGGACCACCGAUGGCGAAGGCAGUCUUCUAAAAUGGAUCCGACGGUGAGGGAUGAAAGCUAGGGGAGCGAUCCGGAUUAGAUACCCGAGUAGUCCUAGCCGUAAACGCUGCAUGCCAGAUGUUACACAAUCUUCGAGAUUGUGUAGUGUCGAAACGAAGGUGUUAAGCAUGCCACCUGGGAAGUACGGUCGCAAGGCUGAAACUUAAAGGAAUUGGCGGGGGAGCACAAUCACUAGUGAAU
This 572-nucleotide ribosomal RNA is filed under the name uncultured archaeon. RNAcentral describes it as "bacterial SSU rRNA". It matches the Rfam family "Archaeal small subunit ribosomal RNA", at positions 319 to 893 of the family's 1478-position model. The record is from RNAcentral.